GGGGGGUGGGAGCCUCCCGCCGUUACUUUGCAAUGUUGCAGCUGGCGUCCCCCCCUUCCUGCUCCCCACCGAGGCAGGCCGGCCAGCGUCCUGCGGCAGAGCAUCGGGCGGCGUGCAGGUCGGGGCGGCAGUGUGGCGGGGCCAGCCUUCCUGACGGUGGCGACGCAGCGGCACUGGCGGCGUGUGGCGGCGUGGGUCGUCCCGGCAACCGUUGCCAUGGUGACGAGUCGGAGAUUUGAUACCGCCACGCUGAAUGGAUUAUUGAUGCAACGCCGCUGGUUCCGGCUGCAACCACCAGAUGCCGCGCCAAUCGCCGCCGUCUUAAUUAUAAGGAGAAUGUAGGCAAUUAACGCAGUAAGGAGAUUAGCGCAUUGUACCAGUAAUUAGUCGGCGUCGGGGCGGCGCGGGAGCAUCAAGGUGCCACUCUGGCUGGAGGCGCGGACGGGGGCGCCACCUCGCGCUUCUCUCUACUGACGGAGGAAGGGAGGGCCUUCACACCACGCCCAGGGGCCCGCGUUUGGAGUACGUGCAUCAGACGACGACCAGAUGACGAGGUUCACGGGAGAUGGAGACGGAUAUAAGCAACACGGCAAGGCGUUCAUGACGUGUAGCGAGGGCGAAUGGGAGAAGCUACAAACAACAAAAGAAACCGGAAGACUACAACACGAACAACAGUGGUUGAAAAUAACACGAAGCAUUUUGGCAGUUGUCCCUUAAUGCCAGACAGGAAUACUGUCAUCUCUGGCCACAGUGAGCCCAAGUAACGCCCAAACUCAACCAGCAAGACGAGGCUUAACGCAAAUCCCAACCAGAAAAGUAAAAAAAAAAAAAAAAAAAAAAA
This 841-nucleotide unclassified non-coding RNA is filed under the name Portunus trituberculatus (swimming crab). RNAcentral describes it as "uncharacterized LOC123516582, transcript variant X1". The record is from RNAcentral. Lineage: Eukaryota; Metazoa; Arthropoda; Malacostraca; Decapoda; Portunidae.